This is a long non-coding RNA of Sinocyclocheilus grahami, 112 nucleotides long. RefSeq lists it as uncharacterized. Lineage: Eukaryota; Metazoa; Chordata; Actinopteri; Cypriniformes; Cyprinidae. The transcript is spliced from 3 exons. The record is from RefSeq and is a predicted model, not a curated record.
GGGCGAUCAGUAGCAAGGUGAUUGUGAUCAGGUGAGCACCGUAUGCAGGUGAGGACACGAGCUGGAGGCCUUGGAGAAACAGAUCCGUGACCUGGUGGAGAAGCAGGCCCAG